This 465-nucleotide ribosomal RNA is filed under the name uncultured Advenella sp. RNAcentral's name for it is "bacterial SSU rRNA". It matches the Rfam family "Bacterial small subunit ribosomal RNA", at positions 338 to 795 of the family's 1533-position model. Lineage: Bacteria; Pseudomonadati; Pseudomonadota; Betaproteobacteria; Burkholderiales; Alcaligenaceae. The record is from RNAcentral.
CCUACGGGUGGCUGCAGUGGGGAAUUUUGGACAAUGGGGGAAACCCUGAUCCAGCCAUCCCGCGUGUGCGAUGAAGGCCUUCGGGUUGUAAAGCACUUUUGUCAGGGAAGAAAAGGUUCUGGCUAAUAUCCGGAACUGAUGACGGUACCUGAAGAAUAAGCACCGGCUAACUACGUGCCAGCAGCCGCGGUAAUACGUAGGGUGCAAGCGUUAAUCGGAAUUACUGGGCGUAAAGCGUGCGCAGGCGGUUCGGAAAGAAGGAUGUGAAAUCCCAGGGCUCAACCUUGGAACUGCAUUCUUAACUACCGGACUAGAGUAUGUCAGAGGGGGGUAGAAUUCCGCGUGUAGCAGUGAAAUGCGUAGAUAUGCGGAGGAAUACCGAUGGCGAAGGCAGCCCCCUGGGAUAAUACUGACGCUCAUGCACGAAAGCGUGGGUAGCAAACAGGAUUAGAUACCCUGGUAGUC